UGGGGAAUAUUGCACAAUGGGCGCAAGCCUGAUGCAGCCAUGCCGCGUGUGUGAAGAAGGCCUUCGGGUUGUAAAGCACUUUCAGCGGGGAGGAAGGCGUUAAGGUUAAUAACCUUGGCGAUUGACGUUACCCGCAGAAGAAGCACCGGCUAACUCCGUGCCAGCAGCCGCGGUAAUACGGAGGGUGCAAGCGUUAAUCGGAAUUACUGGGCGUAAAGCGCACGCAGGCGGUUUGUUAAGUCAGAUGUGAAAUCCCCGGGCUCAACCUGGGAACUGCAUCUGAUACUGGCAAGCUUGAGUCUCGUAUAGGGGGGUAGAAUUCCAGGUGUAGCGGUGAAAUGCGUAGAGAUCUGGAGGAAUACCGGUGGCGAAGGCGGCCCCCUGGACAAAGACUGACGCUCAGGUGCGAAAGCGUGGGGAGCAAACAGG
RNAcentral lists this ribosomal RNA (429 nucleotides) under Chloroflexota bacterium. RNAcentral describes it as "Chloroflexi bacterium partial 16S ribosomal RNA". It matches the Rfam family "Bacterial small subunit ribosomal RNA", at positions 355 to 776 of the family's 1533-position model. Lineage: Bacteria; Bacillati; Chloroflexota. The record is from RNAcentral.